AUACGUAGGUGGCAAGCGUUGUCCGGAAUUAUUGGGCGUAAAGCGCGCGCAGGCGGCUAUGUAAGUCCGGUGUCAAAGCCCGGGGCUCAACCCCGGUACGCAUCGGAAACUGUGUAGCUUGAGUGCAGAAGAGGAAAGCGGUAUUCCACGUGUAGCGGUGAAAUGCGUAGAGAUGUGGAGGAACACCAGUGGCGAAGGCGGCUUUCUGGUCUGUAACUGACGCUGGGGCGCGAAAGCGUGGGGAGCAAACAGGAUUAGAUACCCUGGUAGUCCACGCCGUAAACGAUGAGUGCUAGGUGUUGGGGGUUUCAACACCCUCAGUGCCGCAGCUAACGCAAUAAGCACUCCGCCUGGGGAGUACGCUCGCAAGAGUGAA
Molecule: ribosomal RNA, 376 nt
Filed under: uncultured bacterium
Lineage: Bacteria
Description: bacterial SSU rRNA
Rfam family: Bacterial small subunit ribosomal RNA
Source: RNAcentral